UGGUUGACGAAGAAGUUGAAAAGCUUAAAGGCAAUCUACAAACAGUGACGGCGGUCCUCAAUGAUGCUGAGAAAAGACAAGUUACUGAGGAAACCGUGAAGCUUUGGUUAGAAAAGCUCAAGGAUGCAUGCUACAAGAUGAAUGAUGUGAUAGAUGAGUGGAACACUGCAAUGAUCAAAUCAACCAUUAAGAAAGAAGAAGAAAAUGUUGAUAAUGCUCAUCCUGUUAUGAAGAAGAAGGUACGUUCCUUCAUUAUCCCCUCUCCUUCAUGUUGUUUCCAUGAAGUUGAUAAACUUGUUAUGCGUCACUAUAUUGCUCAAAAAAGAUAAAAGAUUUGAAUAGAAAAUUAGAUGAAAUUGUCAAAGAGAAAGAUAGGUACCAGUUUAAGUUAACUAAUGACCCUGCCCCUGAAGUAUUUAAUCGACCAACAACUACCUCCUUUGUUGAUGUGUCCGAAAUAUUUGGUCGUGAAAACGUUAAGAAUAAUCUAGUGAGGAUCCUAUUGGGGAAAGGAGGUGAAGAAGAAAGAAGGCCCCGUGUCAUCUCUUUAGUGGGCAUGGGCGGACUUGGAAAAACUACUCUUGCCCAACUAGCCUACAAUGAUCCUAAGGUGCAAGACCAUUUUGAGAUAAAAGUUUGGGUUUGUGUUUCUGAUCCUUUUGAUAAGUGCAAGGUGGCGAAAGAAAUCCUUGAAUCUAUUGAGGGUCAAUCCCCCAAAUUGACUACAUUGCAAAGUCUAUUAGAUAGAAUUUGUGCUAACAUUGCAAACAAGAAGUUCCUUCUUGUCUUAGAUGAUGUGUGGGCUGAAGACUAUACGAUGUGGGAUCAAUUCAAAGUUGCAUUCAACUGUGUUGCCCUAAGCAGUAAAAUUAUAGUCACCACACGUAAAAGUAGAAUUGCGGAGAUGAUGGGAAGUGUGAGCAUGAUCAAUUUGAGUGAAUUGUCUAACUUAGACUGUUGGUUGAUAUUUAGUAAAAUAGCAUUUCUAGAUAAGGAUCUUGAGCAAUGUGAGCAACUUGAAGACAUUGGUAGGCAAAUAGCAAAGAGAUGCAAAGGCUUGCCACUUGCUGCAAAGACUCUAGGGAGUCUCAUGCGCUUCAAGAAAAGUAGAGAAGAAUGGAAGACUGUCUUGAAUAGCAAUUUGUGGGAAUUAGAAGAUGUUGAAAAAGGUCUUUUUGCAUCAUUGUUACUAAGUUAUUAUGAUUUGUCCUCACCAUUGAAACAAUGUUUCUCAUAUUGUGCUAUCUUGCCAAAAGGUUAUCUCUUUUCUAGUGAUGAUUUGGUAUUUAUGUGGAUGGCACAAUGAUAUAUUCCUUCAAAAUCAAAUAUGGAGAUGGAAGUCAUUGGAAGAGAAUACUUUGAAAAUCUAUUCAUACGCUCUUUCUUCCAAGUUUUUAAGGAAUAUCCGAAUGAUGACAAGAUAAAAAUAUGCAAAAUGCAUGACAUAGUGCAUGACUUUGCGCAAUUAAUGUCAAAAAAUGAAUGCUUCACGAUCAAUAGUGACAUAGAGUUGGAUUCAGCCAAAAAAGAAGACAUAGAGUUGGGAUUAGAUUUUAAAAAUGCUCGCCAUUUGUGGUUAGAAAUUUCUGGUGAGGCCCAAUUUUCUGUGUCCAAGUCCAAUAAUAGUGCAAAAAAUAUACGCACUCUCAUUCUUGUCAAUCACAAUGAUUACGACUUAUCUAAUUUAUUCCAACAUUUUAGAUGUUUACGGACAUUAACUUUAGAUGGUAUGUUAAAGGAACUUCCAGAUGCAAUGGAAAAUUUCAUACAUUUAAGGUAUCUCAAUUUAGUUAAUUAUUGUGGGCUCGGAUUGCCUGAAACUAUUUGUAAUCUUUGCAAUUUACAAAUUUUGAAGAUCAUGAUUAGAGAUGUUAGGUUCAAUAAAUUACCGCAGGGGAUGAGUAAGCUAAUUAACCUAAGGCAUUUUAUUUUGGAUCACUCCUUUGGGGUAGAUUUUCCAAGAGGGAUUGGAAGAUUGAUUUCUUUGAGAACAUUAAGUCAUUUCUACGUAAGUAGUAAGGAUGACAGUAAAGGAUGUAAACUUGGAUAAUUAAAAAAUUUGAACCACCUUCAAGGGACUCUUCGAAUAAUCGGACUAGGGAAUGAGGAAGAUAUAAGCGGGGCCAAGAAUGCACAGCUCAAGAAGAAGAUAGGCCUUCAUACUUUGUCACUAUGGUUUGUCGGAUGGGAUUUUGAGGAUACAAGGAGGGAGUCCGAUGCAUUAGUUCUAAAUGCCUUAGAGUCACCUCUAGACUUGGAAUGUUUAAGCAUUGAAAUGUACCAGGCCACCACAAUGUCUCUUAAUUGGACGAUGUCCUUGACCAAAUUGAAAAUGCUUGAUAUCCUAUACACAUUUUUAGAGCAUAUGCCUCCUCUAGGAAAACUUCCAUUUCUCAAAUCAUUACACAUAAAGGUUGCGAAAUAUUUGAAAAAGGUAGGAAAUGAAUUUUUGGGAAUAGAAUCCGGAAAGAAGAAAGACAAUAUAAUUGUAUUCCCAAAUUUGAAAACUCUCACAUUUGACAAUUUAAGAGAGUGGGAAGAAUGGAUUGGGAUUGGGAUUGGAGCAGAAGAAGAUGAAGAAGACUGUGUCAUUACCAUAAUGCCACAUCUUCAACAGUUGGAAAUUUGGAGUUGCCCAAAGCUAAAGUCAUUGCCAAACUUCCUUCAUACAACUCCAUUACAAAAUUUGGGGAUCUAUGACUGUCCAAUUGUCAAAGAACGUUGUGAAGGAGGGAUAGGAGAGGACUGGCACAAGAUUUCACACGUCCCAAACAUCAAUUUUGAUAUAAAACACGCUUUCCUUAAGGAUGUGAACGGCUAGGGUAUUGCAACAAUAAGCAACAUUGAUACAACGAUGGGUUGGUAUUACAUUUCGUGCUUGCUUUGUAGAAGGAAGGUCAAACCACAAUCAGGACCAUUUUGGUGUGCAAAAUGUGAAACAAAAACAAAUCUCCAUUUCCCAAGACUGGACUAGGGUUGAUGGUAUUGCAACAAUUUCGAGAGGCAACCACAAUUGCAUAUUGUGCAAGAUCUAUAUUUGCAGAAGCUGUAGGUUUUACAAGCAGCAUUGGGACUUUAUCAAUGGCAAUUAUCCA
Molecule: long non-coding RNA, 3095 nt
Organism: Quercus robur (English oak)
Lineage: Eukaryota; Viridiplantae; Streptophyta; Magnoliopsida; Fagales; Fagaceae
Exons: 4
Source: RefSeq, a predicted model, not a curated record